This is a long non-coding RNA of Helianthus annuus (common sunflower), 512 nucleotides long. RefSeq lists it as uncharacterized. The transcript has 3 exons. The record is from RefSeq and is a predicted model, not a curated record. NCBI's taxonomy places the organism in Eukaryota, Viridiplantae, Streptophyta, Magnoliopsida, Asterales, Asteraceae.
UUAAAAUCUCCACUUUUGGCUAGGGUUCUUAUAUACCUACAUCUAACACAAGAAUAAAGAUAAAAUCCAAAAAGAUUUGAUGAUGCAUGGUGGAUUUGAGCUAGAAUCUAGAAGAUCUAGAAUGAAUAAGUAUCCUCAAGCAAGGUGCGGGAAAGCUUGGAAGACAACAUGGCAAACAAGUGGAAAUGGGGAGGACUUUCCUACGAGCGAAGGCAUGUUAAGAAUGAAUGCAUGGGAGUUGAAUAUUACAAUCUGGAGAUCGGAUUCGAGAUUUUAACCAAAUGAACCCUCACUUGUAGAGGGGAUUUGACGUGAUCAAUUGGUUUUCGUUGAAUUUCAUUUAUACUUUGAAUAUGUACGGUAUGAAAUGUAACGCCCCGCUUUUUCGUAACUUUCUUUAACUAGAAAACAUGUCUUGUAUUUCUGUUUUUUUAGAAGUUUGUUCCUUUUGUAUUUCGUUUCAAACCAUUGUAAAUCCAAGACUUCGAUCUUAAUGAAAUUCUAUUUUUUUA